This 475-nucleotide ribosomal RNA is filed under the name uncultured bacterium. Its description in RNAcentral is "bacterial SSU rRNA". It matches the Rfam family "Bacterial small subunit ribosomal RNA", at positions 26 to 518 of the family's 1533-position model. The record is from RNAcentral.
AGGACGAACGCUGGCGGCGUGCCUAACACAUGCAAGUCGAGCGAGGAGAUUCCUCGGGAUGAUCCUAGCGGCGGACGGGUGAGUAACACGUGGGCAACCUGCCUCAUAGAGAGGAAUAGCCUUCCGAAAGGGAGAUUAAUACCUCAUAACAUUGCAGUUUCGCAUGGAACAGCAAUUAAAGGAGCAAUCCGCUAUGAGAUGGGCCCGCGGCGCAUUAGCUAGUUGGUGAGGUAACGGCUCACCAAGGCGACGAUGCGUAGCCGACCUGAGAGGGUGAUCGGCCACAUUGGGACUGAGACACGGCCCAGACUCCUACGGGAGGCAGCAGUGGGGAAUAUUGCACAAUGGGGGAAACCCUGAUGCAGCCAACGCCGCGUGAGUGAUGACGGCCUUCGGGCUGUAAAGCUCUGUCUUCAGGGACGAUAAUGACGGUACCUGAGGAGGAAGCCACGGCUAACUACGUGCCAGCAGCCGC